RNAcentral lists this long non-coding RNA (560 nucleotides) under Chinchilla lanigera (long-tailed chinchilla). Its description in RNAcentral is "lncRNA (ENSCLAG00000028947.1)". Lineage: Eukaryota; Metazoa; Chordata; Mammalia; Rodentia; Chinchillidae. The record is from RNAcentral.
AUGCCUCACGAGGUGUGGCAAGCUUCUCCAUCCCCAGAACCGCUGCCGAUGCCGACUCCAACUCCGGUGUUUACAAAAGCCCUGCUGCAGCUGAGUCUCCGACAAAGUUCCUUCUCAGAAAGCGCCCCGGAGGACCUCCCUCCGCUCAGCGCUUGGCUCCCAGCAGCAUCGCAGCAGCCCACGGCGGAAUCCUGGGUCCCCAGGCCCACGGAGGCACGCACGCCUAAAUCCCUGCCCGUGUCCCAGGCAACAGAGGUCCUAGGCGAUAAUCUCUACACAAGUGCCCCCUGCUCACAAUCACGCUGCCUUUUCCCUUCUGCAAAGCGGUCUGGCAAUUCGUCCCAAGCUGCUCCAUGCCGAGCCAAGAUUUGCUAACCCAAAUGGUCCGUGGUAUGUUGUUCUCCUAACAAAGAGAAAGACAGUUUUCCCUUAAAGGAGAAUUCGGCUGCCAGCUCUAGAAUAACUGACAUUAACUAUUUGGUUGUGAAUUAUUUGAGAGGCUUAAUCAAAAUAUACAUUGACUGUUCCCAUUAAAAACGUGCUCUGGUGAAAGACUCAGG